This 41-nucleotide transfer RNA is filed under the name Hypostomus hondae. RNAcentral describes it as "partial transfer RNA-Phe". Lineage: Eukaryota; Metazoa; Chordata; Actinopteri; Siluriformes; Loricariidae. The record is from RNAcentral.
GAUGUCAAGAUGAACCCUAAAAAGUUCCAUAGGCACAAAGG